ACACAGCUGGGAUGUGGCAGAGCUGGGGUUCCAGCUCCUGUUCCCAUUGCUGGACAGCUGCCACAUCUGGCACCCAAUUUAGGACCCCGCGGGGAGGCCCAAGCCCCGGGGGUGGCGGGGGAUCCUAGAGGAAAGUGGCAAGGCCAGGACCCUGGAGCAGAGCCAGAGUAGAAAACUGAGGCUCUGAGAGAUGAAGCUACUUGCCAAGGUCACGCAGCACAGUCACAUCCUACUGAACAUCAUCCUGUUCUCUGGGUGGAAUGUCACCAUCGCCCAGGUGGGGAUUUUUGUGUGUUUUGUUCACUGCUGUACACCCAGCCCCCAGCACAGCGCCUGUCCAGGACAAGUGCCCAGUAAACACUUGGGAAGCAAUGCAAGCGUCCUCCCAGCAGCUCCUGCAAACAGACCCCCGACCCAAGCCCUUCCUUCUGCCUCCACUGCCACCACUGCUGCUCAUCUCUGCUGGCACAGAAGUCUCUUCCCUGGUCUUCCAGAAAUCCCCUCUCCACACUCAGCCAGAGGGAGCUAUUAAAACUGUGGGCCAGCCCACAUCAGUCCACAGCAAAGUCCUCUCUAAGGGAUCUCUGUUGCUUGGAGAAUAAACCCUCGGAUUCCUUCCUUGGCUCUCGGGGCCUCCUCUCUGACCUCCCUCUGUCUCCUCUCCCAGCCUUCCUCCUCACUCACCCUCCAGCCAUGCUGGCUUCCUCCUUGCUCCUGAAACAGCCUGAGGCCCACACUGCCCCGGGCCCUUUGCACUGGCUGUUUCCUCUGCCUGGAACACUUCUCCUAGGCAUCCACAGGGCUCCCUCCCACAACUCCUUCGGGUGCCCACAUGGGAAGCCAUCCCUGACCACCCCCCCGACUUCCUUCUGAGCAAGGUAGGGUCUUUCUACCUAGUCAUGAGGGCAGGGAUUUUUGUCUGUUGUGUUCUCUGUGUGCCCCCAGUGCCAUCCCAGUGCCUGGCAGAUGGUAAGUGCUCGACACACAUUGGCUGACUGCCUGAAUGAACAACUCUAUGAGCCGAUGGCAGAUAAGGACACUGAGGUCCUCUGGGGUAGGUGACCAGCCCAAGGCCACACAGCUGGUCUGAGAUUAGGCCAGGAGAGGAGCCCGGGUUGGUCACAUCCUGGAGUUGGCGUCUUGGAAACUGCAUCAGGAGAAUAACAAAGAUGAGACGCAGGCUCUAACAAGUGGAUACCAGUGACUCUCGCCCCGCCAGCCCCAGCCCUGCAGCCUUGGGCCCUUCCAGGAGUCAUGGUCUGCCUGCCUGGGGCAUUCCAGGCUUCGACCCAGGUCCUGCACUUUCUAUUUUGAGCCUCUUAGUCCUGAGGACUGUGUGUUCCCAGCAGGCGGCGCGGGCCAGAGGCUGAGCCUGGGUGUGGCUGUCACCCUAUCUGGGGCCAGAGACCCAGAUUCCCGGGCCCUUAACCUGUUGGCUGCUGAGGGCUCUGGCAUAAGCCCUGUUCCCUGCUUGAUUGUCUCCCCUUCAAGCCCCUGCCCUGGUAUCGUAUCGGCCCAUCUCACCUUGGAUUAUAUCCCUGUUUGGCCCCAUUUGAAUCCUGGCUCUGCCCCUUUCCAGCAAUGUGACCUUGGGCAAGUCACUUCAUCUCUCUGGGUCUCAGUUUCUUCAUCUGGGAAAUGGGGACAAUAAGAGUACCUGUCUCUGGCCAUGUGUGGUGACUCAUGCCUGUAACCCCAGCGCUUUGGGAAGCCGAGGCGAGAGAAUUGCUUGAGACCAGGAGUUUGAGAUCAGCCCUGGGCAACAUAGUGAGACCCCUGUCUCUACAAAAUUCUAAAAAAAUUAGCCGGGUGUGGUGGUGUGUGCCUGUAGUCCCAGCUAUUCUAGAGGCUGAGGCGGGAGGAUUGCUUGAGCCCAGGAGUUUGAGGCUGCAGUGAGCUAUGAUUAUGCCCCUGCACAUCAGCCUGGGUGAUAGAUUGAGGCCCCAUCUCUAAAAAUAACAAUACUAAUAAUAAAUAAAAAUGAAAAUGAGUACCUGUCUUCUGGGGUUGCAGAGGAGAUUCAAUGUGAUGAAAUUGAUGAGAGUGCCCUGCAGGGAGCCGGAAACUCAGGGAGCAUCGAUAAUGAGUCCCCCACCAUCAGCAGCUGGCUUAAAUAUAAAAACUGUCAUGGCCUCUGGAGAAAUGACAAGAAUUCGAAGGAGCUUCCCUGCACUGGCCACCCUACACCCUACACCCUUACUUCCUCCCCUCAACUUGCCUGGAUUUAUCGACCCCCACUACCCCACUGGUUGCCUUCUCUCCACCUGGCACAUUUCGUAUGAAUUUGCUUGUUGGUUCUUGCCUAUCUCCCCAGUAGAACAUUAGCUCCUUCAGGACAGGGACUUUUGUCUACCUUAUGCACCUAGUGCAAUGCCUGGCACACAGUCGGUGCUUAAUAAAUGUUUCUUAAAAGAACCAAUAAAUGAAUAGUGACCUCUCCGGGGAGAGGAGCCCUGAGCUCACCUCCUGCCCCCAGCCCAGGGCUCUUAGGUGCUUGUUGGUGUCAGGCCCAGGCCCCCCUCUCAUCAAGCAGCCAAUAAAACUGCCCUGGUUGGCGUUCUCAUUUCACAGAUGGAGAGACUGAGCCCAGAGAGGGAGAGUCACCUGUCUGAUGUCACACAGAGGUCAGCAUCUGGGCUGGGAUUCCAGCCCAGGACCAUGUGGGGUGGGGGGCAGUGGAUCAAUCUUUUCCUGGAGGGAGUCAAUGGUGAUGGUGGGAAUGGGUCAGGGGUGCUGGCAAGGAGGGUCCAAGGCCCCCAGGAGGGAGGGAGGCAUGGGAGAUGAGUUUGUCCCUCUUGAGUUCUGUCUCUCUCUGUGUCUCUCUGUUUCUGCCUCUUUCUGUCUCCUUGUAUUUCUCAGUCCCUGUCUUCGUCUAUACCUCUUUCUCUCUUCCUUGUGUAUCUGACCCACUGCCCAGGAGGGGAUGCAGGCAGAGACCCCUGGCUUGGGUCCUGGAGUUGGGGCCCACGAGGGGAUUGACAUCUGGGGUUGAGCUGGGAAUCUGAAGCCAGACCCUGCAGCCAGGGACAGCAUUCCAGUCUCGGCUCCACACUCCAGGGAUAGCCUUGGAACGCCAGGCAGUUCAGAGAGCCUGAGGUCUGGUCUUGGAGACCUGGGUUCCAAUCCCAGCUUUGCCACAUUCCAGCCAUGUGGCCUUGGGCCCUUAGCCUUUGUUCCUGUAAAAUGGGACCACUGAGAGCCCGAUCUCAGGGUUUUAUGAGGAGGAACGAUGAGAGGGCUGUGCUGGGCUUCCUGAAGCCCUGUGUGGCCUGGAAAGCACUCAAUAGAUGAUAACUCAGUGUAAUGAUUUCUUCUAGCAGAUGGGGAAAGCGAGAGUUAAAGAGGCCCGAUCAUUUCACUCACUCAUUCCUCAAACGUUAUUAAGCACCUGCUAUGCACCAGGUGCUUUGUUUUGUAUCCAUUAACUCAGGGUUCAGCAAACUACAGCCUCCAGGCCAAAUCUGGUUCACAGCCUGUUUUUAUAAAUAAAGUUUUAUUGGCACACAGUAUGCCCAUUCAUUUACAUAUUGUCCACAGCUGCCUUUACCCUACAACUGCAAUGUUGAGCAGUUGUGAGAGAGACCUUAAAACCCACAAAGCUGAACAUAUGAACUCUCUGGACAUUUACAGUAAAGUUUGCUAAUCCCUGGAUUAGCCCAUUACAACCCUGGAGGAAGGACAUGUCAUAAGCUUGAUUUUAUGGAUUAGGAACUGAGGUCCGAGCGCAGUGUCUGCCACAAGGUUGGGUCUCCAUACGUAAUAUCUGGGUCUUAUUCCUCCUCUUCUGCCCCAUGGGGAGCUGCCAACUCCUGUUCCCUUUCCCUAUCCUGCAUGGAUCAUAAGUGGAUAAUUUGAAUCCCGCAGAGGAAGGAAUGCUGUUUGAAGGUCAGGUCAAUGGAAAGAGUCCUAUUUUCAGGUCAAUUUGGACCUUGCCAAAGCCUCUUCCUUCUGGUGACCUUAGCUGAGAGGUCUGCCACUAGCAGGUGCUUCAUGAACAGUUGCUGAACAAGUGGUGUGCAUCAUGCUCCCGCUGUGAACUUCAGCUUGCUUGAAGGCGGAUUCCUCCAGGUAAUUGCAGGAGACCCCACGGCCGGCCACACACCACCGUUGGGAUGAAAGAUGGCCUCGAGCCAUCGGUGGGAGAACACCCUGGGCAGGGAGAUGCUUUCUAGAGCUCCACGGAAGUGGGGGAGGGGAUCUCACUGCCCGCCAAGCAUGCCCUGGAGUCUUUGUCCCUUCCUCCCUCAUGCUGGAGGCCUGCAGGUACCUGGCUUGAGACGUUGCCUGGCCCUCAAAACACCCAGGUUCCCCCCAAGCUCCUCCCCAGCCUCCUCCCUGCUGACCUUGGGGAGCUCCCGGUUUGCCCUCAGCCCUUUUCUGGAGGCCCCAGAAUCACCAAGAGGUAAUCCUGCCUGCUGCCUGGAGGAGGCGAUGUGGGAGACUCAGGAACCUGGGGUGUCCCCCAGCCAGGGGGCGGGCGUUGUGAUCCGGCGCUGCUGAGCACUGCAGUGCCUUCCCUGAUGGCCUUGUGUGCCGCUCCCUGACCCUCCCGUAGAGCAGCCUUCCCAUACUGCUGGGUGACACUUGCGUAAAUCAUUUCACCUCUUGGCUCUGUAAAACGGGACUGGGGUGGUCCCUACCCCUUCAGGGUGUCGUGAG
Molecule: long non-coding RNA, 4659 nt
Filed under: Homo sapiens (human)
Lineage: Eukaryota; Metazoa; Chordata; Mammalia; Primates; Hominidae
Description: non-protein coding lnc-CEBPB-13:5
Source: RNAcentral